Molecule: long non-coding RNA, 591 nt
Organism: Cavia porcellus (domestic guinea pig)
Lineage: Eukaryota; Metazoa; Chordata; Mammalia; Rodentia; Caviidae
Exons: 3
Source: RefSeq, a predicted model, not a curated record
UCACUGAGUUGCCCACACUGGGCUUGAAUUUGCAGUCUUUCUGCCUCAGCCUCUCAGAGUGCUGGGAUUCUACCACCACGAAUGUUGUGAUUCUUGGAUCAUGAUGGCUCCCACCAGCCUUGCCCGUCACUCCUUUGUUCCUGCCACGCCUGUUGGUAAGAUUCCUUCAGCCAUCGGACACUGUUCACCUUCCACGCCUGCCCAAGCGUGAUUUCCUACGAAGCUUUGACUUGAUGGGGACGCAACAAGAUGGAACCACUCUGCUGACACUGCAGGUUAACCUGGCCUGUGCUGUUCUAGGGGUCAUUCCAGGUGGCCGGGGGCUUCACCUGGCAGCAGCUGGACCCCAGGGAGCAGACCCUGUAAGAAGAUGUGAUGCUAACGAUCUACAGCCACCUGCUCUCUCUGGGUUGUCAAGUCAGCAAGCCAGCUAUGAUCUCCAGGCUGCAGUAGGGGACAAAGCUGUGGACCAGGAAAGAAAAGAUGUGCAGAUGUGCAGAUUUGAAGGGACAGCCUUUAGAGGACUGCGGGGUCAGGACGUCACAGAACAAAGCCCUAGUGUUUUCUUAUUCCAAAGAAGUGGUACCCAAA